UACGAGGGGGGCGAGCGUUGUUCGGAAUUAUUGGGCGUAAAGGGUGCGUAGGCGGUUUGGUAAGUCUUAUGUGAAAUCUAUGGGCUCAACUCAUAGUCUGCAUGAGAAACUGCCGGGCUUGAGUAUGGGAGAGGUGAGCGGAAUUCCUGGUGUAGCGGUGAAAUGCGUAGAUAUCAGGAGGAACACCUGUGGCGAAAGCGGCUCACUGGACCAUAACUGACGCUGAUGCACGAAAGCUAGGGGAGCAAACAGG
RNAcentral lists this ribosomal RNA (253 nucleotides) under uncultured bacterium. RNAcentral's name for it is "partial 16S ribosomal RNA". It matches the Rfam family "Bacterial small subunit ribosomal RNA", at positions 524 to 776 of the family's 1533-position model. The record is from RNAcentral.